CCCGCUGAACUUAAGCAUAUCAGUCAGCGGAGGAAAAGAAACUAACAAGGAUUCCCCUAGUAACGGCGAGCGAAGCGUGAAGAGUUCAAAUUUAAAAUCUGGGUGGGUCUCCCACUCCGAAUUGUAAUUUAAAGAGGCGCUAUCUGGGCCUGGCCUGGUGCUCAAGUCCCUUGGAAUAGGGCGUCACAGAGGGUGAGAACCCCGUCUGGGCACUGGUGCUGGGUCCUCCAUGAGGCGCUUUCUACGAGUCGAGUUGUUUGGGAAUGCAGCUCAUAAUGGGUGGUAAAUUUCAUCUAAGACUAAAUACUGGCAAGAGACCGAUAGCGAACAAGUACCGUGAGGGAUAGAUGAAAAGCACCUUGAAAAGGGAGUUAAAUAGUGCGUGAAAUUGUUAACAGGGAAACGAUUGGGACCAGUAUUGCUGCUGGCGUAAAAAUUUACAAAAAUGGCAAACCUGUGUGGGCGUGCACUCGGGCGGGGAGGAAGUCAUCGUCAGUUUUGGGCUUCCGGAAAGAGGCAGGGGGAAGAUGGGGCUGCCCCUCGGGCACGCCUUUUAUAGACUCUGGCUGGCACGAGGAGCCUGGACUGAGGUGCGCGGCUGCAGUACUCACGGCUCGAGCCCGGCCCCCAUGGGGCAAGGACUACACGUAGGCCUUGCUCGUAAGGGCUGGAGGUAGGGCCGUGCAUGCAGUUCAAGGAUGCUGACGAAAUGGUCUUAAACGACCCGUCUUGAAACACGG
RNAcentral lists this ribosomal RNA (740 nucleotides) under uncultured fungus. RNAcentral's name for it is "eukaryotic LSU rRNA". It matches the Rfam family "Eukaryotic large subunit ribosomal RNA", at positions 24 to 664 of the family's 3401-position model. The record is from RNAcentral. Lineage: Eukaryota; Fungi.